This 407-nucleotide ribosomal RNA is filed under the name uncultured bacterium. RNAcentral describes it as "bacterial SSU rRNA". It matches the Rfam family "Bacterial small subunit ribosomal RNA", at positions 355 to 776 of the family's 1533-position model. The record is from RNAcentral.
UAGGGAAUAUUGGGCAAUGGGGGCAACCCUGACCCAGCAACGCCGCGUGAGGGAAGAAGGUUCUCUGGAUUGUAAACCUCUGUCCUAUGGGACGAAGAAGUGACGGUACCAUAGGAGGAAGCUCCGGCUAACUACGUGCCAGCAGCCGCGGUAAUACGUAGGGAGCGAGCGUUGUCCGGAAUUACUGGGCGUAAAGGGUGCGUAGGCGGCCUGGUAAGUCAGAUGUGAAAUACCCGUGCUCAACAUGGGGGGUGCAUCUGAUACUGUUAGGCUUGAGUGCAGGAGAGGAAAGCGGAAUUCCUAGUGUAGCGGUGAAAUGCGUAGAUAUUAGGAGGAACACCAGUGGCGAAGGCGGCUUUCUGGACUGUAACUGACGCUGAGGCACGAAAGCGUGGGGAGCAAACAGG